UUUUCUCCCAAGCAGACCACCGAAAAACGAGCGAGUCACACUCUUUACUCGAAGUGGUGCGGGAGCCUUUCUGAAACAAAGCGAGCAAACUCAAUUUUGCAUUGUCCCUCGAAUAGGAGAGAGCACGUUUUGCUCAUUUCAGAGUGGGAUCAAAAUUCAUUCAAAAACGAGCAGAUUUUGCUCUUGUCGAGGUUGCAUGAGUGACCCGUGAGCGCACCUACACAAAACAAAAGAGUGAAAAAUGGACUCCGUAAAAAACUCCCACUUAACGAGCAAUCCCGCUCGCAAGCUGGUAUUGCAAAUCUGUGCUCUGCUUCCAAGGCCAAUAGACCUUUCAUGUUGGUAUUCUAACUAAGGAAGGAAUCAAUUUAAAAACUACACAGUACAAUUUAAUAAACAAAGGAGCCUCUUUGCCAAAUAUUUUGAGUUAUUGCUUUUCAUGACAAAAAAAAAAAAAAACAAACGUCUUCGAAUAAAAGUUGAGAGUUUAACGAAAACGGAAAAGAUAACGUAACUCCGCCUUGUUACACAAAAAUAUUUUAUUUUGUUGCUUUAUUUUGUCGAAACGUGUACACUGGUUGGAUAUUUAGUGUGCAUUGCCGAAUCAUAAAUAUAUGGACGUAUAUCUGCAGAAAUGAUAUUUAUGGACGAACAUAUGUUUUAUAAUUUUCACGCCAUUUUUUACCGCUCCGCUUUUUUUUUUUUUUUUUUUGUUAUAAACUGUCAUUAAAUUCAGUGAAGGAAAAGUUCAACUCAGUUCUGUUGUUCUCAUUGCACUUUCAAUCACGUUGUUCAAAUUACAAAUCCUAUCAAUGCAUUCAGACUGGUGGCAUCAUUGGACCGUCCUUCCUCAAAGAUGCUGCGAAUCGCAAAGUAACUGUGAAUGGUGAGCGCUACCAUGAGGCAAUAUUCAACUUUUUAUGCCCAAAGUGCAAGAGCUUGACUUGCAUAAAAUGUUGUUUCAACACAUCACUGGUGACAAUGCACUUAUGGAGAGACUACUUUUUGUGGGGCUGUGUUAAGCCUCGUGUCUAUACAGAUGAGCCUGCUUCCAUUGGAUCACUGGAAGACAACAUUCGUGAGAUAGCGGCCGAAAAGUAGGACUAAGCGGAUGGACCAUUUGAAGCGCAGGUGCAGUCAACAUUUGCAUGAAAUAAUCUUCAAACAUUAAAUUAAAUGGACCGUACUACCAAUUCAAAUACAGAUAUUAUUUGACAGCCUUAACUGAAAUGCAACGUAACGCAUACAAAUAUUCAACUUCCCCACUGUGGUAAAUUGUUUUGUGCGUCCGUAUUAGCAAAAUACGUCAGGUUUCCUAAAAUUGAAAAAUGUGGAAUACUCUAUGAAUAUAUAUGCAGUUUGGUUUCAAUUCGAUAGGGAUGUAGUUGUUUCUUUUUCACGAUGUUCUGGCGAUUGCUUGAAGUGUUGAGAGAUUUGGACCUACAUCUAACAAAGAUACAUUCAGGGGAAUACAAUUAAAUAUUUUAAGAACUAAUCUUUUG
Musca domestica (house fly) is the source of this 1502-nucleotide long non-coding RNA. RefSeq lists it as uncharacterized. The record is from RefSeq and is a predicted model, not a curated record. NCBI's taxonomy places the organism in Eukaryota, Metazoa, Arthropoda, Insecta, Diptera, Muscidae. The transcript is spliced from 4 exons.